Molecule: transfer RNA, 90 nt
Filed under: Burkholderiales bacterium PBB6
Lineage: Bacteria; Pseudomonadati; Pseudomonadota; Betaproteobacteria; Burkholderiales
Also listed under: 1 other name
Description: tRNA-Ser
Rfam family: tRNA
About the family: Transfer RNA (tRNA) molecules are approximately 80 nucleotides in length.
Source: RNAcentral
GGAGGGAUGGAUGAGUGGUUUAAGUCGCACGCCUGGAAAGCGUGUGUGGGUUAAUCCCCACCGCGGGUUCGAAUCCCGCUCCCUCCGCCA